GCCAAACUAGCGACUGUUUGAUCCUUAUUACCAAACAAAUAAAUUCUGCUUAAAUUGAUUGCUACAUGAAAUAUAUCGUCCUCAAUCAGAAAAUCCAAAGGGCAUACAAGCAAAUGUCAUACACUUCAGUCUGCUCUUGAUUGUCCUGCUGAUCCUUAUUACCAAACAAAUAAAUUCUGCUUAAAUUGAUUGCUACAUGAAAUAUAUCGUCCUCAAUCAGAAAAUCCAAAGGGCAUACAAGCAAAUGUCAUACACUUCAGUCUGCUCUUGAUUGUCCUGCUCGAGAGGAUAGAAUGAUACCAACGAUGAGGCCGUACAGAGCCAGAGCUUCAGCAAAGAUGAGGAUGAGGAUCAUUCCAACGAAGAGCUUUGGCUGUUGGGCGUUCGCUCUGACACCAGCAUCGCCGACGAUCCCGAUCGCCAUGCCGGCAGCAAGCCCGGCCAAACCGCAGGAGAGUCCAGACGAGAGGUGCGCGUAUCCGUCAAACAGAUAGUAGGACUUCGCCUUGGGGUUGAUCCCGGUGCUGAUGAUGACGGCGAUGAUGAGUCCGUAGAUCCCGAGCACUCCCGCCAUAACGACGGGGACGAUCGACUUCAUCACGAGCUCCGGCCGCAUCACCCCCAUCGACGCCACGCCAACGCCGCUCUUCGCCGUCCCGUACGCCGCCCCCAUG
RNAcentral lists this unclassified non-coding RNA (674 nucleotides) under Hevea brasiliensis (rubber tree). The record is from RNAcentral. Lineage: Eukaryota; Viridiplantae; Streptophyta; Magnoliopsida; Malpighiales; Euphorbiaceae.